CGGUGAUAUAACUCCACUGCUGAACCAACACAAUCGUCUGUCAAAACAGUGAAUGCUGGAACUAUUCUGCAGGUCAGGCAGCAUCCGUGGAGAGAGCAUUUCAAGUCAGGUUUUCAUCAGUGAACAUUCCCACUCCUGACCUUAUGAUGGAAGGAAAGUCCAUGUCGAAGCAGCUGAUAAUGGUUGGACCUAGGGUAUUGCCUUAAGGAACUACUGCAGUGAUGUCAUUGACUUCCGACAACCACACCCAACUUCCUUUAUGUGAGAUAUAAGGGGACAUUGCAAUGGCAGUUGUGAAUCCCGGAUAAAGGAAUGACACAUCAGAGUAUCCAACUUCAAAUCAGUUCCAGGAAAUUCCAUUUCUGUUUCAAUUACGUCAGGUAUCCGACCUCAGGAAGGUCAUCUAAACUGAUUCUCUGAAUGUCAGCACUCACUGACUAAGCUCUGUAUGGAAGAAGACCCCUGUGGGAGAAGUAGCAGAAGGAUAUCCCACAUCCAUGCUGUUCUAUCCAAGGAUGAGUCAGUCAC
This is a long non-coding RNA of Pristis pectinata (smalltooth sawfish), 528 nucleotides long. RefSeq lists it as uncharacterized. The transcript is spliced from 4 exons. The record is from RefSeq and is a predicted model, not a curated record. NCBI's taxonomy places the organism in Eukaryota, Metazoa, Chordata, Chondrichthyes, Rhinopristiformes, Pristidae.